RNAcentral lists this unclassified non-coding RNA (23 nucleotides) under Mus musculus (house mouse). RNAcentral describes it as "oocyte_clustered_small_RNA10769". The record is from RNAcentral. Lineage: Eukaryota; Metazoa; Chordata; Mammalia; Rodentia; Muridae.
UCCAGAAAUCAGCCAGUGAGCGA